UACGUAGGGAGCGAGCGUUAUCCGGAAUCACUGGGCGUAAAGGGCUCGUAGGCGGUUCGGUAAGUUGCGUGUUAAAUCUCCGGGCUUAACCCGGAAACCGCGCGCAAUACUGCCGUGCUAGAGAGUGGGAGAGGAAAAUGGAAUUCCCGGUGUAGCGGUGAAAUGCAUAGAUAUCGGGAAGAACACCAGUGGCGAAGGCGAUUUUCUGGACCAUUUCUGACGCUGAGGAGCGAAAGCCAGGGGAG
This 245-nucleotide ribosomal RNA is filed under the name uncultured bacterium. Its description in RNAcentral is "partial 16S ribosomal RNA". It matches the Rfam family "Bacterial small subunit ribosomal RNA", at positions 524 to 768 of the family's 1533-position model. The record is from RNAcentral.